GACGAACGCUGGCGGCGUGCUUAACACAUGCCAGUCGAACGGAAAGGCCUGCUUUCCCUUGUGGAUUGCGGGUACUCGAGUGGCGAACGGGUGAGUAACACGUGAGUGAUCUGCCCCCAACUUGGGUAUAAGCCUGGGAAACUGGGUCUAAUUCCCGAUAGGACUGCAGGGUGGUGCCUGUGGUGGAAAACGAUUUUCUAGUGGUUGGGGAUGAGCUCGCGGCCUAUCAGCUUGUUGGUGGGGUAAUGGCCUACCAAGGCGGCGACGGGUAGCCGGCCUGGGAGGGGGGACGGCGAGAUUGGGACUGGGAUACGGCCCAGACGCCUACGGGAGGCAGCAGUGGGGAAUAUUGGACAGUGGGCGGAAGCCUGAUGCAGCGACGCCGCGUGGGGGGUGACGGCCUUCGGGUUGUAAACUCCUUUCGACCGCGAGGAAGCCACCUGGUUGGAAGGGUGGUGACGGUAGUGGUAGAAGAAGCACCGGCUAACUACGUG
Molecule: ribosomal RNA, 494 nt
Filed under: uncultured bacterium
Lineage: Bacteria
Description: partial 16S ribosomal RNA
Rfam family: Bacterial small subunit ribosomal RNA
Source: RNAcentral